RNAcentral lists this ribosomal RNA (403 nucleotides) under uncultured bacterium. RNAcentral's name for it is "bacterial SSU rRNA". It matches the Rfam family "Bacterial small subunit ribosomal RNA", at positions 355 to 775 of the family's 1533-position model. The record is from RNAcentral.
UGGGGAAUCUUGCACAAUGGGGGAAACCCUGAUGCAGCGACGCCGCGUGAGUGAUGAAGCCCUUCGGGGUGUAAAGCUCUUUCGACGGGAACGAUAAUGACGGUACCCGGAGAAGAAGCUGCGGCUAACUACGUGCCAGCAGCCGCGGUAAUACGUAGGCAGCAAGCGUUGUUCGGAAUUACUGGGCGUAAAGCGAGUGUAGGUGGUUCGAUAAGUUUGGUGUGAAAUCUCCCGGCUCAACUGGGAGGGUGCGCCGAAGACUGUCGAGCUAGAGUGUGGGAGAGGUAGGCGGAAUUCCUGGUGUAGCGGUGAAAUGCGUAGAUAUCAGGAGGAACACCUGCGGUGUAGACGGCUUACUGGACCACGACUGACACUGAAACUCGAAAGUGUGGGGAGCAAACAG